RNAcentral lists this ribosomal RNA (901 nucleotides) under Rosenscheldiella korthalsellae. RNAcentral describes it as "eukaryotic LSU rRNA". It matches the Rfam family "Eukaryotic large subunit ribosomal RNA", at positions 44 to 976 of the family's 3401-position model. Lineage: Eukaryota; Fungi; Ascomycota; Dothideomycetes; Mycosphaerellales; Mycosphaerellaceae. The record is from RNAcentral.
CAAUAAGCGGAGGAAAAGAAACCAACAGGGAUUGCCCUAGUAACGGCGAGUGAAGCGGCAACAGCUCAAAUUUGAAAUCUGGCGCAAGCCCGAGUUGUAAUUUGUAGAGGAUGCUUCUGGCCAGCGGCCGUUCUAAGUUCCUUGGAACAGGACGUCAUAGAGGGUGAGAAUCCCGUAUGUGACCGGCGCGCAGCCUUUGCGUAGCUCCUUCGACGAGUCGAGUUGUUUGGGAAUGCAGCUCUAAAUGGGAGGUAAAUUUCUUCUAAAGCUAAAUACCGGCCAGAGACCGAUAGCGCACAAGUAGAGUGAUCGAAAGAUGAAAAGCACUUUGGAAAGAGAGUUAAAAAGCACGUGAAAUUGUUGAAAGGGAAGCGCUUGCAACCAGACUUCGUAGCGAUGUUCCGCCGGUCUUCUGACCGGUCUACUCAUCGUCGCGAGGCCAACAUCGUCUGGGACCGCUGGAUAAGACCUAAGGAAUGUAGCUUCCCUCGGGAAGUGUUAUAGCCUGUGGUGAUGCAGCGCGUCUCGGGCGAGGUCCGCGCUUCGGCAAGGAUGUUGGCGUAAUGGUUGUCAGCGGCCCGUCUUGAAACACGGACCAAGGAGUCUAACAUCUAUGCGAGUGUUCGGGUGUCAAACCCCUACGCGUAAUGAAAGUGAACGGAGGUGGGAAGCGCAAGCUGCACCAUCGACCGAUCCUGAUGUCCUCGGAUGGAUUUGAGUAAGAGCAUAGCUGUUGGGACCCGAAAGAUGGUGAACUAUGCCUGAAUAGGGUGAAGCCAGAGGAAACUCUGGUGGAGGCUCGCAGCGGUUCUGACGUGCAAAUCGAUCGUCAAAUUUGGGUAUAGGGGCGAAAGACUAAUCGAACCAUCUAGUAGCUGGUUCCUGCCGAAGUUUCCCUCAG